AAAUAUAUAUCUCUCAUAUAAGCUCUUUCAUAUAUUAUUAUAAGCUCUUUUAUAUGAACAAAUAUGUAUCUCUCACUUAUGCUCCUUAUAUAUUAUCAUAAAUACAUUAUUAUAUGCCUUUUCAUGGAAUCUUGUUAUAAUAUCGAAAACCUCUCUGUGCCUUUUCUGCUCAAGCUGAACAGCUGCAUAAGGGAGUGAAAGCGUUCCUUCCUUCAGUUCCUCAAUACAAGAACAACUGUCUUUGUUAGCAAAGGAUGUUGCAGGAUGUGUCCUGAUCAUCUCAAGGUUGCAUGUCCUUGGGAUGAAUUGGUCUUUCAUUAACAAGGCUAUUAGCUGACGUGCGUCUGCAGGUGCAGAUGGCAGAAUUACGUGUGUGUAUGGCAAACUACGUAUGUAACAUUCCUGUAAUCUUCAAUAAAAAUCAGCCGUUUUCAGCAGAACGGCGAGAGUCUGUCCGAAGCAUCUGGCAAGAGCAGGUCGCGGGACUUGCUGCAGAGACUCUCCCCCUCAUGAGCGGUGAAACAGUGAAUGGACUUCUGAUCAUUUGUCUCCUCGUUCUGUCAACUUAAAAGGUGUUUAACUCCAUCUACUCCGUACCCGUGCUUGGUCUAACGGAAGAGAGACCAACAAAUUUGGCGUCACGAACAGGAUUUUUUCUUUUUGAAGAAAAAGGAGUUUUUGGAGGACAAUUUGACCAACCGACCCAGCGAACAGAUCUUGGCACAGAACACCGCGGUGGAAAACAAGGUGAGCAGAGCCUAUUAUCUAAAAUCUGCUCAUUGGAUUUAUCCAAAGCCUUUGUGUCCAGAAUCAUAGUAGCUGAGGUCCUAAAAUAAUAGUUGGAGAAGAAAGUGGAGACAAGUGCAGAAAGAAUAAGAGAUUUUUUGUAAUGGUUUAAUGGUGAAAUGAAAUGAGGAUUUUUCUAAUGGUUUAAUGAGUAAAUGAGAAAAGGAAAUAGUACAGAUGAAGGGAUGGUGACCCAGGGCUAAUAGAGUAGCCCUAAAGUUCCAUUUCCAGGUCGUGGCUGACCACACUAUUUGCUGACGAGCGGAUAGAAUAUAUAACAAGGUUAUAUAAAGCUUGGCUGGAUCCAUAGGUGUGGGAACCCUAAAAGUCCACAGGUCAAGGACCUGGUUUUUUGUGUUAAGGGAAGGGGAGGCUAAAAGAGAGCUCCCUGGAUUUUAAGGUCAAGGACCUGGUUUUUUGUGUUAAGGGAAGGGGAGGCUAAAAGAGAGCUCCCUGGAUUUUUAAGGUCAAGGACCUUUUGCAUGAGAUGAGAAAAAUGUUCUGAGGUAACUGUUUUUGCAUAAGAUGAUAAAUGUUUUGACUGCUUCUGUGUGAAGAGAGCAGUGCUUUUGGCUAUUUCUGCGUGCUUUUGGCUGUUUUUGCAUAAAAUGAGCAAUGUUUAAAUAUGACAAGCAGCCCAGUUGAAGCCACGAGAAAUAAGGUUUUAUUGAGAAAGUCAGCGGAAGAGGCGAUGAAGAAAAAAGGGGUAGAUGUUAACAGUAGAGGUAACUGGAGAAAGAUUUGGGAAGUGAAGGCUGCAGAAUCAAGAGAAAAAAGGCACAGCUGUAGACAAGCUUCACUGUGUGUGUAAGCUGAGUUCAGCCUGUGUGUGUGAGGCGCAGCAAGAGGCUGCUUACGGCUCUGGAUUGAAAGUGCAGCACUAGGAGAGUGCAGAAUGCAGAGCAGAGUUUUGGGAGCUCCGUGUGUGUGUGUGUGUGUACAGCGCUGGAUGGUGUGUGUGAAGGCCUGAUGCGGUACCAGAAAAUAAAUAAAUAAGCUAAAUAAGAGCUUUAAAAAGUUGCAACUCGUAUAUGUAAAUUACACUGCAGUGCUAAAAAUUAAUGUUUGGAGCUACGCAAAAUUCAAAUUCUGCAACCCUGUUCUGAUCAGUCUUUGAACAGAACACCAUAAGUUAAUAAAUAAAAGGUUUUUAAAGUAACAUAUGCAUAUGUAUGUGUGUAUGUAUGUAUAUGUGUAUACAUAUAUAUACAUAUGUAGUGUAGAAGCGUGAUAAUCAUUUGUGUGUGGGGCAGCAUGUGAGUGACCCCGAUUUGGGGGUUAAGUGACCUGGAGAUGAAAAAAGGGAAAAAACCACCAAGAAACGCAAGUAAGGAUGUAAAUGACAGCUUUAUUUUAGAAAUAUAGUCAUAUAGCUGCUAAACAGUAAAAUCAAAACAGAUCUGCAGAAAAUAAAUAUAUAAACUAUUCCUCAGAGCGCUCUCAAAAAAAUUGCAAUUGGAUUUGCUCUAAUGUUACAUAAGGCCUGCUUAAAAGCAUAGUAAGCAUUAAAUUCUGAAAAUAACCAGUGCAGUGUUAAAUAAAUUCUGUGCUUAAAAUAUUAUAUAUAUAGAGAGAGAGAAUAAAUAAGUGACGAACUGACUUACCUUAAAAAAAUAAUAAUAAUAAAAAGAGACUGUGACAAACAAAGAAUGUCUCUGUGCCUUGUGAAUGAGUGAAUGUGUGUCUUCUUGCAUGAGCUGCUUUCGCUGGAUCUUCUGAAUGAUUCAGUUUUUAAUAGAGGGAGCAGCUGCUUGAGAAACAGGGUGCGGUCCAUGUUUUUACUAGACGGUUAUUUAGUUCGAGAGACUGUGGAAACAAUAGAAAAAGAAUUUAUCGUUAGUGUGAGGACAAGAAAAUCCUUUAAAAUACAAAAGUUGUAUGGUCGUGGUUAUAAAGGAAGUAUUUUGUCUGAUUAUGGGCCGUGGAGUCAGCUGGACUCCCUCGCUCUCACAGUUUUCCUGUGUAACAUGCAGUUUAAGCAAUUUGUGACUUUAGAAAGGAUAUUUUUCGGUGUUUUGGACGUACCUUAAGGCUUCUGGUUAGGGUAUUCAGGAGAUCCUUCCUCUCGGACAGAUUUAGUGAGAAUGACUGGAGUUUCAGCCUGGGGACCUGACUCCACCCACUUUUACACACAGGAGUUCCGCAGUCUAAAAAUAGCACAGGGUGCUGCGAAAAGCAGCUCUGAACCUCUCAGGAUCAUCUUUAUGAAAACCAUAAAAUUAACAAAUAAUCAGUCAGGAAAUAAAAUAUUUGUUAAAUCUUGCUAUAAAACAAAAUCCAAUAAUUGUCUUACCUCAACUUUAAGAACCAUUAACGUUAAUGGCUGGAUUUUGAGAUGCUGAAUAAUGAAAAAACAGAUAAACUAAGUAUUAUUUCCUGUAACCUGGCUAGAAACUGUACUAGGCUGUUUUGAGUUAAAAACUGGUAGUUAUUUUCCCAAAAUAAAAUAGAUAAACAAAAAAUGAAAGGAGGGAUCUUGCAUUUGGGAUAGAUUGUGCCUAAAGUUUAAAACCUGUGUAGAACCGACUUGACGAUUCAGAAAAAUUGUGCAUAGGAAGUAGUCUAGAUUUACCUUUGAGUCAAUAAAGUCGACUAAAUAUUAGAAACCAUCGUUGAUUUUGAUUUGUAAAAGAGAAAGUUCUGUCAUUUUAACUCAAUCAACAUAUUUAAGGAAAACGUUUGCUGUGCAUUGUGGCAGGCAUGAACUUUACUGGGUGGGCCUGUCACAACCAGCUGCAAAGAAUGUUUGGCUCUGACUUCUAUACAAAGAGAACCUGGAAGCCCUCACCAAAGAGAACCUGGAAGCCCUCACCAAAAGCUGUGACUCAUAACAUAAAGACGGGGAGCACUACAAGAUGGACAAAGAGGCAGAAACUUAUUUGCCCUGCUGCUGAUGAAACAAAGUACAAAAGGGGGAGCAUGUGUGCUAACAUGUGAACUUUAAUCAAUGACGGUGGUCAUCCUGGACUUACAAAGAGAGGCUCAAAAGAGACUGUUUCCCAUGGUUACACCCAGUAAAAGAGUGCUUGCUGCAGUCAGGUAAUGAACAAGGCUUUUCGGCAACAACCAGUUGAAUUGAUGAAAUGUCAGAACUGUGGAAAAUUUACUAAACUACUGUAGAACAUAGUUAACUGAGAAAGUUAGCCUAAAAAAAGAUAAUAAUAAUAUCAAUAAAUAAAUAAAUAAUAGGAUUAGUAACCUGGAUUUCAGCCCAACUCAUCAUUGGACGUCAAUAUAAUCUUUAUUGUCCUAGGAUUCUCAGCUGCAGCGGACAUGCAGUAAAGCCUUAUUUUCUUUUCAAAACGGAAUACAUCAGCGUCAUCACUUAUCUUCAUUAGUUAAGGAAACGGUGUCUAUUUAUAAGUCUAGGAGAACGCUUUAGGCUUCAACAGUUCUCUCCUUCGAGCAAACAUGCGCAAAUUUCCGGAUAGUUUAUAGUAACGUUCCAUCCCAUUCCAUUCAUUGCAUAAAAAUAAACAUUAAAUGAAUAAUUUGGCAUCCAGCUGACUAAAUGAUUCAUGGAACAUCUCAUCCGAGACAACAGUGUUGUUUCAGCUCCGUUGAGUUUCCCAACAGAUCUAGCCAAACCUAGCUGAUCCUAUAUUUUUCUAUCAGCUGUAAGUUCUAACGUAGAAAAUAAUGUCACAAAAAUAUUGAAUAAUUGUACCCCUCAUUCGAUAAAAAUUAUGUUCACAUUUUUAUCUUGUGAAAUCUUUAACAUAAUAUUUUUAAAUGGCCGUUUUGACGACAAUUGGCUAAAAAGUCUUUAAGAUUAUCAUCACAGGAUGGCAUGAUAAAUAAGUAAAUAACAUAAAUAAAUAAAUAGACAAAAAUAAGAGAGAAAAAGCAAAAUUAAUUAAAUGAAACGUAAUAGUGAUAAAACGUUAAAUUGAUCUAAAAUCUGUCAUUCAGCGCCACUGGAAAAAGGAAGAGGAUAGGGGAGUAUUUCUUAGCACAAAUCACGUUAUUGAUUUAGCAAUGCAGCUUAAUUUCAGAUGCUUUAAGGAUGAUACUAACUUGUGUUAUAGAUGGAGGAGUAGCACAGAAACACUUCUAGAUGAGGAGAUAAGGAAAAAAAACUGCUGAUUACCAAUACUAUGCACAAACAAACCUGUAACUGCAGUUUCGUUAUUUAUGAAUUAACCUUAAGUAGUGAAUUAAUUCUUAGGAUUUCUUGUGCGAGUAGUGUUCCUAAAAAAGAAAGAAAGAAAGAAAGAAAGAAGGUAAGAAAGACAGGUAGUUUAGGUAAGGGACAACCUGAAACUAUUUGGUUGAAUUGAUAGUAAAGUGAUUGUCCUAAUUUCUAAUUGGAGAGAUCACAUCGCAACGUGAGUUUAGAACAGCAGUUAUGGGAAGUUUUGUUGGAUUAAUUUGAUUACACGCUUUAGGUCUUAUUUUUUCUUUCCACUGAUUUAGCGUUAGGUUAAGUAUUUCACACUUUCGCUUCAGUCUGACAUUUGCUUGGUGUGUGAGGGCACAGAGACGUGUAUGGACCGUGUGUUUGACUGUGUUUGUCUUGUUUGUUUGUUUAUUUAUCUAUAUGGGCAUGGCCGAGCCUUGAGAAACAUCAACAAAGACAUUGGACUAUUCUGAGUAAAUUAACCAAUUCAAAUUCAAAUUCAGGAUCCUGAAACAAUUUGGCUAUAACCUCUAAUUGAUGAAGGACAUCUUAAGAAUUCAUUAUACAAGGAUUCCUCUCCAGUGUUGCCGGAACUGUUAUAAAACCCAUGCAUGGUUGUAUAUUUUAGUUUGAUCAUUUAUACUCAUUGAAUUAUUGUUGUUUGCUUUAUGUUUUAAUUUCUUUGCAAUUUUUUCUCUGUGACACAGGUGGAGAUGCUGGUGGCAAAAUGGAUCCCACACAUUUCUUUCUCCCACACACAUUCUUACUCUCUCCCUCUCUCUCUGUGUAUGUGCAUGUGUAUGUGUUUGUGUGUCUGUGUGUCCAUGUCGUGAUGUCACUGUACCUUUAAUUGCGCUUGCUGUUCGUAACUGUAUGUGUCUGAUGUUGAAGGUAUCAGAGGCUAGGGUCAGUAAGAGCUAGGACAUUUUUGUGCAUAACCUCUAAUCCCUAGGCGAUCGGUCCGGGGAACUUCUGGUCCGGCCGGAGUGUGAAUCUUCCUACCAACUAUCUGCCAAAGCUCAAUUGGACUGCACAAGUCGAGAAAGCCUUCAUUGGACCAAAACUACACACACGAAGAGGCUUCGUCUUCGGUGCCAGGCGUCUGGGUCCUGCUAAAAGUCACCAAAAGGAAGUGGACGGAACCGAGGUGGACCGAGCCAUACAGGAUCACGGAGAGGACAUCACACGCUGUCCGGCUGGACGGGAGGAGCCUAACCUGGAAGAGAAGCAGCUGACAUCUGCCUAACCAGAGAAAGGAUCCAAAAACCAGGAAGAGAAGUAGCUGACUGCAGUAGCAUGCCAAGCUGCCACCACAUCCUGCAGGACGAGAAUCUUGACAUCAUCACCCCCUGCAGCUGCCUGGAGCCAGUGAAGGGUCCUCAACAGGGGGAAGAAGUAACCACCCUAUGAACAUUCUACAAGGGUUGUAUUUAACACCCUCAUUUAUUUUAACAAGGGUAAUAUUUUACACCCUCCACCUGCUGACCCAAUUAUCCAGAUGCCCUUGUUACUAGCCAAUCCUAACAUCUAUUUGGGAGGGGAACUCUCUGAUGAUAGUGAUGACUCUCAUGAUGAAGAAGAUGUUGUUAGAGUGUGAGAAUGUUCAGUGAUUUAUGUAACCAUCCCUUCACCAGUUCAUUUUUAUGAUUUUUUUGUUUGUUUUGUUUUAUUUUUUGUUGAUCAUUGAUGUCCUAGGCAUGCACACUCUAUGCCAACAGGUGUUCGCCCCAAAAUUGAGAUAUGACAAAUGGGGGGACAUGGGGGAAUUUUCCCUAUAAACAUAUGAUAAUUAGGGUUUUUCGCCCUCAUAUGGAGUUGCAUGCGAUCCAUACAUGUUGUAACAUGUUCAGUUAAAAAUAUGAUCAUGUUUUUUUUUUGUAUUAGUUUACUGCUGGAAAUAUGAGAAGCUGUAACCUGAUUGAUUGUUUGUAUUUGUAUUUUAAAACUUUGCUUAUUGGAUUCUUUUUGAUGGAAUUUGGUGUUAUUGUUUUGAUUUCUUAUAUCUUUAUUGAACUCUUAAAAGAGUUCAAAAGGGGGAUUGAAAAUAUAUAUCUCUCAUAUAAGCUCUUUCAUAUAUUAUUAUAAGCUCUUUUAUAUGAACAAAUAUGUAUCUCUCACUUAUGCUCCUUAUAUAUUAUCAUAAAUACAUUAUUAUAUGCCUUUUCAUGGAAUCUUGUUAUAAUAUCGAAAACCUCUCUGUGCCUUUUCUGCUCAAGCUGAACAGCUGCAUAAGGGAGUGAAAGCGUUCCUUCCUUCAGUUCCUCAAUACAAGAACAACUGUCUUUGUUAGCAAAGGAUGUUGCAGGAUGUGUCCUGAUCAUCUCAAGGUUGCAUGUCCUUGGGAUGAAUUGGUCUUUCAUUAACAAGGCUAUUAGCUGACGUGCGUCUGCAGGUGCAGAUGGCAGAAUUACGUGUGUGUAUGGCAAACUACGUAUGUAACAUUCCUGUAAUCUUCAAUAAAAAUCAGCCGUUUUCAGCAGAACGGCGAGAGUCUGUCCGAAGCAUCUGGCAAGAGCAGGUCGCGGGACUUGCUGCAGAGACUCUCCCCCUCAUGAGCGGUGAAACAGUGAA
This is a non-coding RNA of Nothobranchius furzeri (turquoise killifish), 7477 nucleotides long. Lineage: Eukaryota; Metazoa; Chordata; Actinopteri; Cyprinodontiformes; Nothobranchiidae. The record is from RefSeq and is a predicted model, not a curated record.